This 460-nucleotide ribosomal RNA is filed under the name uncultured bacterium. RNAcentral's name for it is "partial 16S ribosomal RNA". It matches the Rfam family "Bacterial small subunit ribosomal RNA", at positions 338 to 795 of the family's 1533-position model. The record is from RNAcentral.
CCUACGGGAGGCAGCAGUGAGGAAUAUUGGUCAAUGGACGAGAGUCUGAACCAGCCAAGUAGCGUGAAGGAUGACUGCCCUAUGGGUUGUAAACUUCUUUUAUAAAGGAAUAAAACGAGGCACGUGUGCCUUUUUGCAUGUACUUUAUGAAUAAGGAUCGGCUAACUCCGUGCCAGCAGCCGCGGUAAUACGGAGGAUCCGAGCGUUAUCCGGAUUUAUUGGGUUUAAAGGGAGCGUAGAUGGGUUGUUAAGUCAGUUGUGAAAGUUUGCGGCUCAACCGUAAAAUUGCAAUUGAUACUGGUAGUCUUGAGUACAGUUGAGGUAGGCGGAAUUCGUGGUGUAGCGGUGAAAUGCUUAGAUAGCACGAAGAACCCCGAUUGCGAAGGCAGCUUACUAAACUGUGACUGACAUUGAUGCUCGAAAGUGUGGGUAUCAAACAGGAGUAGAUACCCCAGUAGUC